Molecule: ribosomal RNA, 253 nt
Filed under: uncultured bacterium
Lineage: Bacteria
Description: partial 16S ribosomal RNA
Rfam family: Bacterial small subunit ribosomal RNA
Source: RNAcentral
GACAGAGGCCCCAAGCGUUAGGCGGAAUCACUGGGCUUAAAGCGUGUGUAGGCGGAUCGUUAAGUGUCUUGUGAAAUCCCACGGCUCACCCGUGGAACUGCUGGGCAUACUGGCGAUCUUGGGCCAACUAGGGGCAGCCGGAACAAGCGGUGGAGCGGUGAAAUGCGUAGAUAUCGCUUGGAACGCCGAAGGUGAAAACAGGCCGCUGGGGUUGUGCCGACGCUGAGACACGAAAGCCAGGGGAGCAAACGGG